This 486-nucleotide ribosomal RNA is filed under the name uncultured bacterium. Its description in RNAcentral is "partial 16S ribosomal RNA". It matches the Rfam family "Bacterial small subunit ribosomal RNA", at positions 30 to 507 of the family's 1533-position model. The record is from RNAcentral.
AUUGAACGCUGGCGGCAUGCCUUACACAUGUAAGUCGAACGGCAGCACGGGUGCUUGCACCUGGUGGCGAGUGGCGAAAGGGUGAGUAAUACAUAGGAACAUGUCCUGUAGUGGGGGAUAGCCCGGCGAAAGCCGGAUUAAUACCGCAUACGAUCUACGGAUGAAAGCGGGGGACCUUCGGGCCUCGCGUUAUUGGGUUGGCCGAUGGCUGAUUAGCUAGUUGGUGGGGUACAGGACUACCAAGGCGACGAACAGUAGCUGGUCUGAGAGGUCGACCAGCCACACUGGGACUGAGACACGGCCCAGACUCCUACGGGAGGCAGCGAUGGGGAAUUUUGGACAAUGGGCGAAAGCCUGAUCCAGCAAUGCCGCGUGUGUGAAGAUGGCCUUCGGGUUGUAAAGCACUUUUGUCCGGAAAGAAAUCCUUGGCCCUAAUACGGUCUGGGGAUGACGGUACCGGAAGAAUGAGCUCGUGCUAACUACGUG